CUAUGCGCCUUGCCACGCCCGCUCAGAAACUCAAAGGAAUUGACGGGGACCCGCACAAGCGGUGGAUGAUGUGGUUUAAUUCGAUGCAACGCGAAAAACCUUACCCACCUUUGACAUGUACGGAACCCUCCAGAGACGGAGGGGUGCCCGAAAGGGAGCCGUAACACAGGUGCUGCAUGGCUGUCGUCAGCUCGUGUCGUGAGAUGUUGGGUUAAGUCCCGCAACGAGCGCAACCCUUGUCAUUAGUUGCUACAUUUAGUUGGGCACUCUAAUGAGACUGCCGGUGACAAACCGGAGGAAGGUGGGGAUGACGUCAAGUCCUCAUGGCCCUUAUAGGUGGGGCUACACACGUCAUACAAUGGCCGGUACAAAGGGCUGCCAACCCGCGAGGGGGAGCUAAUCCCAUAAAACCGGUCGUAGUCCGGAUCGUAGUCUGCAACUCGACUACGUGAAGUCGGAAUCGCUAGUAAUCGUGGAUCAGAAUGUCACGGUGAAUACGUUCCCGGGUCUU
This 511-nucleotide ribosomal RNA is filed under the name uncultured Comamonadaceae bacterium. RNAcentral's name for it is "bacterial SSU rRNA". It matches the Rfam family "Bacterial small subunit ribosomal RNA", at positions 903 to 1382 of the family's 1533-position model. Lineage: Bacteria; Pseudomonadati; Pseudomonadota; Betaproteobacteria; Burkholderiales; Comamonadaceae. The record is from RNAcentral.